RNAcentral lists this non-coding RNA (56 nucleotides) under Prorocentrum micans. The record is from RNAcentral. Lineage: Eukaryota; Dinophyceae; Prorocentrales; Prorocentraceae.
AUGACAGAAAGAAAAACGGGUAAAGAAAAAAAAAAAAAAAAAAAAAAAAACACAUU